GGAUGUGAGGGCGAUCUGGCUGAAACAUCUGUCACCCCAUUGAUCACCAUGGUUGAUUCGGCUGAUCUGGCUGACUAGGCAGGUGUCCCCUUCCUCCCUCACUGUCCCAUGUGCAUCCCUCCCCAAGUUGCACACUUGGUCAAAGAGGAUAACCAACCCCAAAAGAGAAGGACUAUAACCGGAAAUGGGAG
Molecule: small nuclear RNA, 191 nt
Filed under: Heterocephalus glaber (naked mole-rat)
Lineage: Eukaryota; Metazoa; Chordata; Mammalia; Rodentia; Bathyergidae
Description: 7SK RNA
Rfam family: 7SK RNA
About the family: 7SK was discovered as an abundant small nuclear RNA in the mid-70s but a possible function has only recently been suggested. Two independent studies have found that 7SK RNA binds the CDK9/cyclin T complex (known as elongation factor P-TEFb). P-TEFb activates transcription by phosphorylating the C-terminal domain of RNA polymerase II.
Source: Rfam by way of RNAcentral